UACAGAGGGUGCGAGCGUUGUCCGGAAUCACUGGGCGUAAAGGGUGUGUAGGCGGUUCUUUAAGUUUGGUGUGAAAUCUCCCGGCUCAACCGGGAGGGUGCGCCGAAUACUGAGGGACUAGAGUACGGGAGAGGAAAGUGGAAUUCCUGGUGUAGCGGUGAAAUGCGUAGAUAUCAGGAGGAACACCGGUGGUGUAGACGGCUUUCUGGACCGUAACUGACGCUGAGACACGAAAGCGUGGGUAGCAAACAGG
This 253-nucleotide ribosomal RNA is filed under the name uncultured bacterium. RNAcentral's name for it is "partial 16S ribosomal RNA". It matches the Rfam family "Bacterial small subunit ribosomal RNA", at positions 524 to 776 of the family's 1533-position model. The record is from RNAcentral.